Hemicordylus capensis (graceful crag lizard) is the source of this 698-nucleotide long non-coding RNA. RefSeq lists it as uncharacterized. The record is from RefSeq and is a predicted model, not a curated record. NCBI's taxonomy places the organism in Eukaryota, Metazoa, Chordata, Lepidosauria, Squamata, Cordylidae. The transcript has 3 exons.
AGAUUUCAAACUUGGGCUUAAAAAAAAGAAAAUCCAGAACUGCACAAUGAGCACAAUCUGGGACAUUUUGAAGUCUACAGAGUGAGAGAAAAUCCUCAGAACUCAGAAUCUGACAGAGCUAUUGCAGAAGAGUGUUAUAUCCUUUGGUGAGGACUCAGGGGAGAAGCUGUAGAGUCUGUGGAAAGCAUCUUUGUCAGGAGGAGGUGAAAUAGAUUUCUGUGGCGGAAGACUGCUGAAGCUUUAGCAUUAAGCUAAGUGGAAGAGAGACACAAGGAAGAGAUCACUUCUGUAUGGAAAUCAGAUAUUUUUCAUGAUCAGGAACACAUGGGCUCAGAAAUGUGAGGGGGGCAGGGAACCCCAUUCUAAUAAAACCGUGGAUUUAUCAAAGACAUAUUUGAGGUCAAGUAAUAAAAAAAUACUUAUUUAGUGAUUCAAGUGUUUAACCCACUUCUCAGCCAAAGCAGCUCCCAAAGUGACUAACGAUAACAUUGACAAUAAAACAGUGAAAUGUGAUCACAUGAAACAACACCUAGAAAACACACAACAAUAUUGCAAUGAUUGUGUCAGUAUUCCUGAUUAGUUGUUUGUUUGGAAAGGAUUGUUACAAUAUCCAUCUAACAGGAUGAGGCACAGAUAGUAACAUAAAACAGCAACAGAAUCAAACAAUUUUAUUUAUUGUUGACUAACCAUUAACACAU